UAAACUGGUUGAAAGACCACACCCAUGAAGAAUAAAAGGGUUGGGGUUUUCAGUCCCAGCACCCAUUGGAUCCAGACUUUGGCCCAAAAAGAAUAACUCUUACCACAUCAGCUGAGACAGAGAGCCAGCAUGGAAAGAGGCCAGGCACCUGAGGCUCCAUCCUACAUGGCAUGGUCAAUAUUUAACACUUUUUGCUGUUGUUGGCCUCUGGGGAUCGCUGCCAUUGUCUACUCCAGCAAGGCAAACACUGCUAAUAGUCUUGGACAAUCAUCAGAAGCCAUGGAAGCAUCAAGAAAAGCCAAGGUGCUAAAUAUCCUGUCACUUGUCAUUGGAAUCAUCUUCAUCAUCAUUUUCAUCGUUUACAAACUCAACAAUCCUGAACAGCACUGAAGGUCCAUGACGUGUUGAAUCCCAGCAAAGGCUUUUAAUGAUGAGCUUUCCCCUCCUCCAAACAUAUGCUGACUAAAUAGAAACAUAUGUCUGUCUGUUUGCAUACAUGUUGUACACAUGUGUACUUGCCAAUGCCAAAUGCCAAUAAGACUGAGUCAUGUUACUGCAAUGUGAUGAUUGUACUGAAAUAAUUCCAAAAACAUGUAUGAUCCGUCAGAGUAAAAUAUAUUUGUUACACAAAGGAAA
Labrus bergylta (ballan wrasse) is the source of this 636-nucleotide non-coding RNA. The record is from RefSeq and is a predicted model, not a curated record. NCBI's taxonomy places the organism in Eukaryota, Metazoa, Chordata, Actinopteri, Labriformes, Labridae.